Syngnathoides biaculeatus (alligator pipefish) is the source of this 1581-nucleotide RNA transcript. It is a transcript of the gene named E3 ubiquitin-protein ligase TRIM41-like, with no coding region annotated. The record is from RefSeq and is a predicted model, not a curated record. Lineage: Eukaryota; Metazoa; Chordata; Actinopteri; Syngnathiformes; Syngnathidae. The transcript is spliced from 4 exons.
UCUACAUUCGCACAUCUAUGGACAGUUUAGAGCUAGAGUGACUGCUGUUAGUGAACGAGGUUAAAAAAAAAAAAAAAACGGAAAAAGGAAUAAAGUGAUGGGCGCUGGUAAAUGGGCGGCAGACAGAAAGAGAAGACAUAGCUACCGAUAUGUUGCCGGUACUGUGAAGAAACAUAAAUGCAACAGGAGCACGCAGAGAUGCCCGAAGCAGGGCCGACUGCCCCAGGAAAGGAUGCUCAGCUGGGGACGGCACCAAACUGGACAUCGAGAGCGCACUGGCCUGGCUACGAAGGGAACUAAUGGAAAUGCGAUCCCAAGAUCAAGCACUGAUCCGGCAACUGAUGGAGCUUCACUCCGGCAUCCAGGAGCUUAAGCAGGAGCUGUUCGAGGAGGAGGACGUUGAGGAGGAGCUAGACGAGGAAAUGCACGAAGAAGGUAGCUGCUGGGACUCAGAGGGUGAACGGGGAAGCGUCUACUCCAGCUCGGGUGAGGAGGCUUCACCCAUUCCCUUUCCAAAAAAACCUCAGCGCCUUUACACCACGCCCAAGGCCAGGAAAUCUUUCAGCAGAAGAAGAUCUGUGCCUUAAAAAGCCACAUAGAACUGGUCUAGUCCCACUUUUAAUUCCUUCAUGCACUCCACAGUGUUAAAAAUAGAUAAUCAUACUGAGAACUAAAACACAGACACUAUCAGCAACAAUUCCGUGGUCAUGUAUCCAUCCAUCAAUUUUCUUAGCUGCUUACCCACACAAGGGAGUGCUUGAGCCUAUCCCAGCUGUCAAGGGGCAGGUGGCGGGGUACACUCAGUGUCCAAUUAAUGUUGCAUGUUUUUGGGAUGUGGGAGGAAACUGGAGUGCCCGGAGAAAAGUCACACAGGCACGGGGGAGAACAUGCAAACUCCACAUACAGGGAGGGCCGGGAUUGAACCCGGGUCCUCAAAACUGUGAGGCCAACGCUUUACAGUAACUCCACCGUGCCGUCCAUGGUCAUCUACUGUAUACUGAAUUUAAAUAUAUGAACAAAUGGGCACAGCACGUCUGGCUCGCAGUUCUUAGGUCGAUGGUUCGAAUCGAUUCCUCCCACAUCUCAAAAACAUGCAUUGAGUUAAUGGAAGACACUAAAUUGUUUAUAUGCGGUAUGUGCCCAGCGAAUAGUAAUCUUUAAUUGGAUUGACCUAAAGGCAAGUCGCCUUUGUGUAACUUAAUGUUUGUGAGACAAAUAUACUCUUAUGUGGGUAGAAAGUAUUGAAGACACAAUCAUUCCAGCACUCAGUCAAGUUCUUCCAGACUGUACUCAGCCAAUCAGGCCUUUUCAAACUGUUUUGAGCAUAAAAUCUGUCCAACAUGCCUAGACAAGGAAAGAGAGUAUAAUCUCAUUGACUGAUUAAUUAAUUGAUUCGUACUUCACAAUUAUUUUAUCUGUGUAGUUCAGUAUUUCGACAAAAACAGAAAUUUGAUAUCUGAUUUGCAAAGUGUAAGUUUUGUUUUGUCCACUCCUGUCUGAAUGUACAGAAAAAGGCACCAUUGCCACGGGUUGUUAGUGCUGAAAGCUCGCUGACCUGACGCGACUUUAACGGCAUACAAA